UUUGCUGUAUGCAGUAUAGUUGGAGUUUGCAUAUAUGGCGACCUGCCGAUUAUCAAUGACUUUCUGAGUUGGUCGUUGUUCCGGCCCCUCGGGAGGUUAUCCUAUGGGAUCUACUUGCUUCAUGCCAUGUUCCUGGAACGGAUAAUAUUUUCUACCAGAGCCCCGUUGAAGUACGAUCAUCUGGAAUUUUACUCAAAUCAACACAGUUUUACCCAGAAUGUGAAAAAUGCCUGACUGAACCUGCAUACCUGAGAAGUACUCUAUAGGAAU
Molecule: long non-coding RNA, 270 nt
Organism: Manduca sexta (tobacco hornworm)
Lineage: Eukaryota; Metazoa; Arthropoda; Insecta; Lepidoptera; Sphingidae
Exons: 3
Source: RefSeq, a predicted model, not a curated record